Molecule: ribosomal RNA, 468 nt
Filed under: uncultured bacterium
Lineage: Bacteria
Description: partial 16S ribosomal RNA
Rfam family: Bacterial small subunit ribosomal RNA
Source: RNAcentral
GACGAACGCUGGCGGCGUGCUUAACACAUGCAAGUCGAACGGAAAGGCCCUGCUUUUGUGGGGUGCUCGAGUGGCGAACGGGUGAGUAACACGUGAGUAACCUGCCCUAGACUUUGGGAUAACUUCAGGAAACUGGGGCUAAUACCGGAUAGGAGCUCCUGCUGCAUGGUGGGGGUUGGAAAGUUUCGGCGGUUGGGGAUGGACUCGCGGCUUAUCAGCUUGUUGGUGGGGGAGUGGCUUACCAAGGCUUUGACGGGUAGCCGGCCUGAGAGGGUGACCGGCCACAUUGCGACUGAGAUACGGCCCAGACUCCUACGGGAGGCAGCGGUGGGGAAUAUUGCACAAUGGGCGGAAGCCUGAUGCAGCAACGCCGCGUGCGUGAUGACGGCCUUCGGGUUGUAAACCGCUUUCGCCUGUGACGAAGCGUGAGUGACGGUAAUGGGUAAAGAAGCACCGGCUAACUACGUG